This is a long non-coding RNA of Anneissia japonica, 785 nucleotides long. RefSeq lists it as uncharacterized. The transcript has 3 exons. The record is from RefSeq and is a predicted model, not a curated record. Lineage: Eukaryota; Metazoa; Echinodermata; Crinoidea; Comatulida; Comatulidae.
AUAUUCAUUAAAACAAUAAUUGGAAGCCAUUCUUCGUUAAAUACACAGCAGUUAAUAAUAUUAUUAUUAUUGACAGGAGAUUGCCGAUAAUCGACCGACUCUAUUACUUAUAGGUCAGCUCAAAACCGACAGUCUAUAUUUAAAUUGGACCUCAGUUGGAAAUAGGCUGGACUCCGGCCUAAUGGGCGAACCUGAUGCUCAUUACAUGAUGUAGACAAAGAAUCCACAACUAUCAGGAAAGAAUGUCCGGACUCAAUUGUGAAAGGGCAACAGAACUUACCAAUUAUUCAUACAUAGCCAAAAAUUGUGUCACUCAUCAAGCUUCCUGCAAAAAUGCUGAAUAUGAAAUUAAUUAAAUUAUAGUGUAAAUUUUAUUUUUUAAAUGUUUUCCUCUGCAAUAAUCUAAAAAAAUAAUGUUAGCAAUAUGUAGUAAUUCUUGUAGGCUUUAUGUUUAUUAAUAUUGUAUUAUUACUGCUAAUGUUUAUCUUAAUAAUAGAGAAAGUAACCAGUUUGUUGUAAAGAAUAUAGACAUGUAAGAUAAUAAGAUAUAACAUUUUGAGGAUUAAAAUCAGAUUUAUUGAUUUUUGGCGGAUGUACAUGACUAGGCCUACAGUAUAUAAAUAUAAAAUGUAUAUAUACAUAUCACAACUUGAUUUCAACUAGUGAGAAAUAUAUUCAAACUAUUUUCAUUUUGGCAUCUGUGUUAAGUUAGGCCUAAUUAAGUAUAAAUCUCAUUAGAUUAAAAACACUUUUUGUAAACUUUAUGACAUCCAUACUUUAAUGAG